CUGCCUUCCCCGAAGCCUAUAAAAGCGCAGGUCCCUGCCUCGGCAGCCACGGGACACCUGCAUCUGCCAACAAGACUGGAAGCAGGUGAGGCACACAGAGGGGGAGGCCCGCAGCUGCGUGGGAGGAGGGGUGGUCUGAGGGACAUGGGAUGCCGGGAAUUAGACUGGUUUGCAGGUCGGCGCAUGGACAUUUUCCCAGGAACGGACAGAGACAGCAAAGUUUGACGGUCUGGAAAGCAGAAAUCAGUGGGGCUGACUGCUUGGGAGCACCAAGUAUACGGACAGCGCCUCUCGGGGGUUCCAAGGAGAGAACCGCGAUCUGUUUCAGCACCGGGGCUCAGGACAGUUCCCAGAGGGCUCCGUUUCGGCGCCGGAACCCUGGACAACUCCCCCAGCUUGGAAUGUACUCCCCCCACCUCCACCCAGAGCUCCCCACAACUGACCCUGCCUUCUUCUGCAAGCUCCGUUUCAUCAAAGGAAAUGAUCCUUAUUGCCUCACCAUUGCCCACGUGAAGUCUGUAUUGACAUUCUCAUAGACCUAGGAUAUUGUAUCUGCAGCACAUAGUCCAGUUAUUUUCAUGUUAUCUACUGACAGGUCUAUUUGUCUCCCUGUUACACUGUGAUCUCCGUGAGGACAGAAACAAAGUUUGUAUUUUCACUGCUGUGUCCCCAGUGCCUGGUCCAGGGCCCAGCACACAGCAGGCGUACAAUAAGCAUGUGUUGAAUCAAUAAAGGCAUCAAAGAAUAAACCAAUACAUCAAUCAAUAAAUGAAUGAAUGGCCUCAGCAAACACAGGAAGAUCCUUCUUCUAGGUCUCCCCCAGAGAGAUACCGGAGAGCGAUGGUUGCUGCAGGUGUUUAUUGGGGAAGCAUAAUUGAAUUUGUGGACACUUAAGGGCCGGCCAGCCAACUCAUAGCCCCAAGAGAGAGAGCCAGGCUCAUUUAAUUAGCAAUUACAAGGCAUUGAUUCCUUAUUCGCUCUGGCAACCCUUGUCUCCCUCCUCAGCCCCAGACAAAUGAAAUCUUUCUCUCUCUCCCAGGAGGACUGCCUCAGUGGGUCUAUUAACAAGCAGAGAAAAUGAGAUUAGAAGACACCUAAAUGCCAGAGGCACUUUAUGAAUGGGCUGAGCAGUGGGAGGUUCAAUGUCUGGGUUAGGUCUAAUUGUGGGAGUUUUCCUGGUCUAUUUAGAAUUGCCCCCUGGGAAUGCAAGGUCUUUCAGAAAGGAAAAGGCACACAGAUAUUGCCUUUUGGGGUCCUCAAUGGAGGAGGGCAUUCUACUAUGGGUGUGGCGAGUCUCUCCUACUUUUUUAUUUUUCUGAGAACCGGACGUCUUGCUCUAUUGCCCA
Long non-coding RNA from Cercocebus atys (sooty mangabey), 1346 nucleotides. NCBI's taxonomy places the organism in Eukaryota, Metazoa, Chordata, Mammalia, Primates, Cercopithecidae. The record is from Ensembl.